AGCAGCCGCGGUAAUCCCAGCUCCAAUAGCGUAUAUUAAAGUUGUUGCAGUUAAAAAGCUCGUAGUUGAACUUCAGGCCUGUCCAGAUGGUCCGCCUUAAUUGGUGUGUACUGUCCUUGGGUGGGUCCUACCUUCUGGCGAAGCGGCAUGGCCUUAAUUGGUUGUGUUGGGGAACCAGGACUUUUACUGUGAAAAAAUUAGAGUGUUCAAAGCAGGCAAAUAUGCUCGAAUACAUUAGCAUGGAAUAAUGGAAUAGGACGAUGGUUCUAUUUUGUUGGUUCUAGGACCGUUGUAAUGAUUAAUAGGGAUAGUUGGGGGCAUUAGUAUUCAAUUGUCAGAGGUGAAAUUCUUGGAUUUAUUGAAGACUAACUACUGCGAAAGCAUUUGCCAAGGAUGUUUCUAUAAUUCAAGAACGAAAGUUAGGGGAGUCGAAGACGAUCAGAUACGUCCGUAGUCUUAACCAUAAACUAUGCCGACCUAGGAAUACGGGCGGAUGUUUGACAAAAUAGACUCGCUCGGC
This 520-nucleotide ribosomal RNA is filed under the name uncultured Paraglomus. Its description in RNAcentral is "bacterial SSU rRNA". It matches the Rfam family "Eukaryotic small subunit ribosomal RNA", at positions 569 to 1084 of the family's 1831-position model. The record is from RNAcentral. Lineage: Eukaryota; Fungi; Glomeromycota; Glomeromycetes; Paraglomerales; Paraglomeraceae.